Molecule: non-coding RNA, 31 nt
Filed under: Rattus norvegicus (Norway rat)
Lineage: Eukaryota; Metazoa; Chordata; Mammalia; Rodentia; Muridae
Source: RNAcentral
UGAACCAAUGAUUUUUGUUGGGGUUGCUAAA